CAACAGGGAUUGCCUCAGUAACGGCGAGUGAAGCGGCAACAGCUCAAAUUUGAAAUCUGGCUCCUUCGGGGUCCGAGUUGUAAUUUGCAGAGGAUGCGUCGGGUACGGGUCCCUACCGAGUUCCCUGGAACGGGACGCCAUAGAGGGUGAGAGCCCCGUCUGGUAGGAUACCCAGCCCAUGUGACGCUCCCUCGACGAGUCGAGUAGUUUGGGAAUGCUGCUCUAACGGGAGGUAUACUCCUUCCAAAGCUAAAUACCGGCUGGAGACCGAUAGCGCACAAGUAGAGUGAUCGAAAGAUGAAAAGCACUUUGAAAAGAGAGUCAAACAGCACGUGAAAUUGUUAAAAGGGAAGCACUCGCUACCAGACUUGGGUUCGGCGGUUCAACCGGGGCCACGCCCCGGGGCAUUCCGCCGGCUCAGGCCAGCAUCAGCUUUCCGUCGGGGGCAAAGACGUCGGGAAUGUAGCUCCUCUUCGGGGGAGUGUUAUAGCCCGGCGUGUCAUACCCUUCGGGGGGCUGAGGUACGCGCUUCUGCAAGGAUGCUGGCGUAAUGGUAGCUAGUGACCCGUCUUGAAACACGGACCAAGGAGUCAACCUUAUGUGCGAGUGCCCGGGCGUAAAACCCCAGCGCGGAAUGAAAGUGAACGUAGGUGAGAGCUUCGGCGCAUCACCGACCGAUCCUGAUGUCCUCGGACGGAUUUGAGUGAGAGCAUAUAGGGUUGGACCCGAAAGAAGAUGAACUAUGCGUGUGUAGGGUGAAGCCAGAGGAAACUCUGGUGGAGGCUCGCAGCGGUUCUGACGUGCAAAUCGAUCGUCAAACAUGCGCAUGGGGGCGAAAGACUAAUCGAAUCUU
Molecule: ribosomal RNA, 853 nt
Filed under: Plectosphaerella oligotrophica
Lineage: Eukaryota; Fungi; Ascomycota; Sordariomycetes; Glomerellales; Plectosphaerellaceae
Description: eukaryotic LSU rRNA
Rfam family: Eukaryotic large subunit ribosomal RNA
Source: RNAcentral